Esox lucius (northern pike) is the source of this 299-nucleotide long non-coding RNA. RefSeq lists it as uncharacterized. Lineage: Eukaryota; Metazoa; Chordata; Actinopteri; Esociformes; Esocidae. The transcript has 3 exons. The record is from RefSeq and is a predicted model, not a curated record.
CACACUGACAAGAGGACAGGAAGGGAUGAAGAAUGUGUAGAUGCAUAAAGCAGCAGCCUGCCUCAUCCCCUGUGACAGGUUUACUCAUGACUAGCACAAGGACACUGGCAAUCUCAUGAGCACGAUGGAGACAAGUGGCAGAACCUGUACAGAGAGGGCAUCUAUAAUGAGAUCCAAACAGAGUACCUGUCUACCUCCUUCGCAGGGAUGUCCUUCGCUCAGGACAGCAAGCUGUGCUUCCUGAAGCUUGGACUGUUGUUGAUUGGGAUUGAGUACCAGAGUAGUGACCAGGAGUUAAG